GCCUACGGGGGGCAGCAGUGGGGGAUAUUGCACAAUGGGGGAAACCCUGAUGCAGCGACGCCGCGUGGGCGAAGAAGUAUUUCGGCAUGUAAAGCCCUAUCAGCAGGGAAGAAGAAAUGACGGUACCUGAGAAAGAAGCACCGGCUAAAUACGUGCCAGCAGCCGCGGUAAUACGUAUGGUGCAAGCGUUAUCCGGAUUUACUGGGUGUAAAGGGAGCGCAGGCGGCACGG
Molecule: ribosomal RNA, 231 nt
Filed under: uncultured bacterium
Lineage: Bacteria
Description: partial 16S ribosomal RNA
Rfam family: Bacterial small subunit ribosomal RNA
Source: RNAcentral